Long non-coding RNA from Rattus norvegicus (Norway rat), 6074 nucleotides. The record is from Ensembl. Lineage: Eukaryota; Metazoa; Chordata; Mammalia; Rodentia; Muridae.
CUUGCUUUGUGACUUGUUCUGUAAAUGCUUAGUUACUUGGCUUGGGUCUAGACCGUUUGUAUUUGGGCGGGCCAGAGAAGGAGCUGACGAGCUCGGACUUCUCCCCCGCAGCCCUGGAAGACGUUCCAAGGGUGUUUAGAGCCCGGUUUUUCGGGGCUCAGCCUGUAUCGGAACGAUACGUGGUUUUGGGUUGGAGGAGAGAGGAGAGAGCCGGAUCCACUGAAGGAUCCGGACCCUCGUCGCCUCUGUCUGAAUUUUUGGUUUCAGUUUGACACCGAAGCCGCGCGGUGCGUCUGUCUGUCUGACUGUUGGAAUUGUUUGUCUUCUUUGUGUCCUAAUUUUCUUUGAACAUCUGUGGAAAUUGGUUAUAGGAUUCUUUGUCUUGGUCUUGUUUGUCUGGUUUGUUUUCUGUGGUAUUGUCGAGUGUCUUUUUGACUUUUGUUUCGUUUUUGGACUUUGGAUAGACGACUGUGUUUAAAAUCUUGGACUGACAACUGUGUUUAAAAUCAUGAAACUGUUUGCUUUGUUUGUCAAGGAGUUUUACUUGGUCCUCUUGGUGCUUAACUUGGAAAUAAUUUGCUUGAGAAAAAUUGUUUUAUCUUUCUCUCUUAGCCUCCUCCCCAAGGAAAGAUGCCCCUCCCUUUGCUCCCCUUGUCCAGUCUAGCUGCUGUUAACAGUUGUGUAUGAAGAACUCCAGGUUAGUGAGUGACCCUGUCUGAAGCAGGUAUUAACAAGAGCCUGAAAGCUUUACCUUAGAUCCUGAAGAAAAAUUCUCCCUGUUGCUUAAACAUUCACAGCUUCUAAGGAAGGGACAGCACAGAGUAGGAAAAUAUAGGGGCUGAGGGUGACAAGCAUGCAGGCCUGCUAGCAAGCUGCAGGCUGCGCGUGGGCAGUGGUGCAGCUCUGGCCAAGUCAGCGUAAGAGGAGUUUCAAGGUGAUGAGGCCGGCCAGGGUUGAUGCUUUGACAACAAGAAGAUAGCGUAGAGUUAGUGGUUGUUUUAUGAGACUUUUGGCCCUGAAAAAAAAUAAUAAUUCCAGUUGCUGCUUUCAGUGGCCAGACCUUCAACACUUGCUCACAGAAGGAGAGUGUUCAUUAAGAGAAGUUCUUUAAGGGAGCCUGCCAUAUCUGCUGGCCCUAUUCCAAGAGAGGAGUUGAUCUCCAACAUUAAGUAACCUUCCCUGUUAGUCAUCAUUGACAUGGAGAGUGCCUUUGAUCCUAUCCCCACAGCAGCCAGUUCCUGCCCCUGUGGUCAAAAUGCCCCAGGUUGGGGGACAGAGAAGCCCCUAAAAUAGUUUCAAAAAGAAUCUGCAACAAACUGUGAAGAACUUUGUUUUGCCAGUCAAAAUUUAGAAUUCAGUCUUUGACUGUGGCCAAGGUCAGGAUUAAUGUUUUCUUUUCCAUGGGCCUUUAGCCCACUGAGACAGUUUGGUAAAGGGCUGCUACUGAGGUCCUGAAAGUCCCAGGUGAACUGGUUACAAUUCUUUUGUCAGCCACUUGGCAUCUAGCACCCAGGUCCUAACCAUCUCUCCAUCCUUUUGUUAUUAGUUCUUAAGUCCAGAGAGAUAGUCGGUAACAGAUCAGCUCCCUCUCUGCUUGCCGUUCUGUUUCACAGACACAAAGCUUGUGCUUAUUUUUACAACAGCCUUUUUGUCCCAAAAAGUCCUCCUGGUUUAGCUGUGUGACUAAAUGCUAUUUGUCCUCUUCAGUGGACCUCUAUUCUCUAGAUUCUCUUCUUGUUUUCUCACCAUCCCACUUGAGAUGCUUGUUAGUAACUGUUACAGGUCUUCUUUACCACCGAGAAAAGACAGAAUCCUACUGGAGGCCAGAAAGAUAAAUCCAGACAUGGAUGGAAGACCCUCACUCCUGACUGUUGACUUGAAUACCCCUGAAGGUAGGGAGUGCUCCGGGUCUGCCACCAGGCUCCAAGGGUGGGUCUCCGAGGGGCUGGAAAAUGCCCCACCAAUCUGGCUAAAAUAAGUAAAAGAUAUAAAGAGAGAAAGUUACAGAAAUUUAAAGGGUUAAGCUAAGUUGCUGAGAGUUAGUGUAAGUUGCAGAGAAAGUAAAGUUGAAGUGUAGUUACAUAAGUGGACAGCAUCUAAUAGCUGUAGAGGAAGAUGCAGAAGAUAUGAGAGAGAGACUGAGGAAGAGAAAGAGAAAAGAAGGUAAAAAGAGCAGGAAGCUAAGGAAGAAAAGAGAUAAAAGGAAAAAGAAGCUAGAGAGUUAAAGAGGGAUAAAAGACAGGAGAGGAAUAUAUACUGGCCACAGUAGUUAGGGAACCUAGGAAGACAGUACCUGGCAACAGAAGAGAAUUCCUAGCUAAAGAUCAGUGUGCCUAUCGCAAGGAAAAAGGACACUGGGUCAGGGACUGCCCCAUGAAGAACAAGAGGGGCCUCUCCAGCAGCCCGGAAGGCAAGCCUCUUGGUUCUAGAGUGCUGGCUAUGCGCAAAGAUAGAAGGGAAGCCUGCCCAGUUGUUUUGUGAAUACGGGGGCCCAACACUCUGUGCUCCUACGCCCAAAUGGGCUAGUGUCCAGCAAAAGACCUUGAGUACAGGGGACUACCGGCAACAAAUGAUACUCAUGGACUACCCGAAGAACGGUGGACCUUGGCGUGGGCCGGGUAUCCCACUUGUUCCUUGUGAUCCCAGACUGCCCCUACGAGUCUAAACCCUGCAACCCUGCUCCCGGACCCCGACCUAGACACCCCCCUUCAUGACUGUCAGCAGGUGCUCACUAAAGCACAGGGGUGGCAUAAAGAUCUGACUGACCAGCCACCAAAGGGGGUAGAUGCCAUCUGGUUCAUAGAUGGGAGCAGCUUCUUAGAGAAGGAAAAAGAUGGGCUGGGGCAGCAGUGGUUGAUGGAAACAGAGUCAUUUGGGCUCAGGCCCUACCAGAAGACACCACUACUCAGGGGGUAGAGCUCGCUCCCCUCACCAAAGCCCUUGAGCCGAGAAGGAGACUUAACAUCUAUGUGGACAGCACGUAUGCCUUUGCUACAGCCCAUCAGCAGAGGGGCCUGCUGACAUCUGAGGGCAAGAAAAAAAAAGAGAUUCUGGCUCUGUUAAGGGCCCUACAUGACCCAGCCAGGCCGAGGAAGAGACUCUGGUACACCUCAACGAGAAAGAAGAUCCUGCUACAAUUUUUACAGGCAGAGGCCAUGGUCUCAAGUAUCUCGUGGAACAGAUAGUGCACUGAUGUAUACCAUGCCAAAAGGUAACUGUUUUCAGGAAAGUUGACUGUGGUAGGAGGCUCCGUGGGGAACGGCCUGGAUACUACUGAGAAGUGGACUUCACAGAGAUAAAACCAGGAAAAUAUGGUUAUAAAUGUCUCCUAGUGUUUAUAGAUAUCUUUUCAGGAAUAGGUAGAAGCUUUCCCCACCAAGCAAGAGACGGCCUCAAUAGUCAUCAAGAAGAUACUAGAAGAAAUCUUCCCCCAAUUUGGAAUGCCCAAGGUAAUCUGGUCAGACAACAGCCCUACUUUCGUUGCCAAGGUAAGCCAGGGUGUGGCCAAGUAUUUAGAGGUUGAUUGAAAAUUACGUUAUAUUUACAGACCUCAAAGUUCAGGACAGGUAGAAUAAAUAAAUAAGACUCUAAAAGAGACCCUGACCAAAUUGACCAUGGAGACUGGCGUAGACUGGGUGACACUCCUUCCCUCUUGCUCUCUUCAGAGCAAGAAAUACCCCUUCCAGAUUCAGCCUUACCCCCUUUGAGAUCUUAUAUGGGGCCUCAGCUCCCCUGACUGUAUUAGAUGAUGUUACUGAACCAACAUGUCAUAGUAAUAAUGAUUUGUGUGCCAGGCUAAAAGACCUACAGGUGAUACAGAAAGAAAUCUGCUCACAGCUGACAGCAGCCUAUGCCCCGGGGACCCCUGAGACAUGUCAUCAGUUCCAGGUUAGAGACUACAGCUACACUGAGCCCAGACACUCGAGCCUCGCUGGAAAGGACCAUACCUGGUGCUGCUGACCACCCUGACAGCCAUCAAGUCUCAGCCCUCACCAGCAGCGUACUAGCUGUUGGGGCUGAGAGCUGGGACCUAGAGGGACACUCAGAUCUUCAAAAAGCUCCCUAGACUUAAGUGAUUGGGAGGUUGCUAUAAUGCUCACUUGAGGAGUGUGUUUUAGAAACAAGAAUUUCAUAUUUGCCUGUUUGCCCUGGGUUCCCUCGGAAUAGGUGUAAGGAUAGGCUUGAUUUUUAUUGCAAAUGAUGUAAUAUUACAUAUGUUAGUACUCCUAACACUUCUUGGGACUGUGCCUCAGGGAUCACAACCUAUAUAAGUUUAGAAGUUCUAAAAGACCUUGGUGUAUAGGUUCAGAUAGUGUCCAGAUUAGAAUCCUGAUGCUAAAGACUUAAUAAGACACAAAAGAGAGUUGAGAAUUAUUUAAGGCUAUCUAGGUGCUACAAGGGCAGCACAAGGACAUCUGCUAUUGCCCUAUAAUGCAAGGCUUAUAGAGAAUUCAGAACUGCCAUUGACUCAGAUAUGAAAAGAGUAAAAAAGACUUUUUAGCUGACCUCCAAGAACACCUAACCUCCCUCUCAGAGGUAGUCCUUCAAAAUAGAAAAAGAUUAGACCUGAUAUUCCUUAAAGAAGGAGUAUGUGUGCUACACUAAAAGAAGAAUGUUGUUUCUAUGCAGAUCAGAUAGGAAUAAUAAGAGAUAUAGUCUUUCAGUCAUUCAAACUUUUGUGCUGAGACAACAGUAUCAGAUGGUGAAACAACAAAAAACAGAGGUACCUUAACCAAGUUGAGUGGAAGAUUCCACUCAAGGACAAAAAGAAAAUGGGGGAAUGAAAGACCCCCUCCCAGAAAGGGAAUUGUACAAGCCCAAGGCCCUCAACUAUAGAAGUAAAAAGUAAGUUUUUAGAUAUGUGGGACAAGCUGACCCAUCAUUUAGACGAAACAGACCAGAAAAGAAAACAAAAUGCAGAAACCAGACUAAAUUAUGGGCACUGCUCCAUGGGCCACCUGGCAGGAAAAAGAAAAAGUCCCUGACCCCCCGGAAGCCCUGACCACCAUGUACUUUUUGCUAACUCAUUGUUAUGAUUAUAGCCAAAAUAGGUAACAUACACGUAUGCCUCAUCUGUACUGGGACGCCCACAGAUACCUGUGUAUCCUGAUCAAUAAAAAUCCUCUUGCAGAUUGCAGCCUGUGGACUCGGUCUGGUCAUUGGGCUUGAGGAUCUCCCUCCUGAGGGAAGAUUCUCUCUGAGAGUCUUACAAUCUGAGGAUUGUAUGAGAACUCUAAGGGAGCUUGCAGCCCCUCAAUGGGCCAUGUCACUGGUACUCACAAUCUUAGUGUUUGAUCUCUUUCAGGCAUUGCUGCUGGAGCAUAUUAACCAUUCAAUCACCACCCCAGGAAAGAACGUAGACUGUCAGCAAUGACCGCCACCCUUAGAAAGCAUUUGGGAAAAUAAAAUUGUUGGUGGAACAAAAUUGAGAUGUUUUUACUACUGGCUCUGGUGUAGAAAGUCUUAGGGAACGAUUUGAAGUUCAGAAAGGCACACUCUUAAUAGUUAAGCUAGGCACCUUUUAAGGUCAGGGAACAAGAACAAUGGCAGUACUAGCUGAAGAGACUCUUCUGCUGGAGCUGGGCGGUGAUCAAGGCAAGGGAUUCCUCGUGCCCAGUUUUGCCCUCAGCCUACUCUACGGUUUAAUAAAUUUUGCUGAUGAGUAGAUGUGCAGUCUGAGAAUUUAAAGUAGAAACGGCUGGUUGUCUUUUAUCUAAAAGUUUAGAUUUGUGAUUCUUUUAAGAUCUUUAUAAGAUUACUUUUUAAGAUAAAUGAUAAAAUAAUCUUUCCUUUCUUUGUAACUGCAAACUGCUGCCUGCCAGUAAGAGAAACUGGUUGAGAAAAUUACUUUGCCUGCUCACACUUUUGUAAUCUCUGGCAAGUUGCUUAGUUACAAAUGUACGUGGGUUUUUGGGAAUAAUCUGUUUUCUUUUCCUGUACUAUGUAAUGCUAUUUCUUGUAAAGGUAUUGGAGAACACGCUGUAUUUUCACAGUCAUUCACUAGAAGAAAAACAGAAUGCAAUCACACUGUAAUUUUAUACUGCUUGAGAGAUUUUGCUGUGAGAGAAAAAAAU